AACAACGACUGAGCCAUGUUGAGUGCACCAGUUCUCGUGCGAGCACUGAAGUUGGGCGACGUUAGGCGUGGUCAGUAACUGUAUAAGUGACCAUCUGGGAGGUCAUGUGUUGCUGGCA
Molecule: ribosomal RNA, 118 nt
Filed under: Olea europaea subsp. europaea
Lineage: Eukaryota; Viridiplantae; Streptophyta; Magnoliopsida; Lamiales; Oleaceae
Source: RNAcentral